UGAAUGCUGUAAAUUUAAAGGAAAUGAGAUCUAUUGAUCUCUUACAGUUUGACUAGAAGAAAAUGGUCUUUUCAGAUGUCUUAUGUACAAAAAUAAAAAUCUUAUAAAAAGGACAUAAAACUAAAAAAAGCUUGUAAAGGGAUAGAAAACCAUUUCUCCUGUGAAUUUCCAGUUCAUUAGACAUACAAUUUUUCCUAUAUGAUUAAAAGGAACUAUUAUGUUCCGAUAGGUUAAUAUUCCGGCUUGGAAGAGAUCCAAGGUGAUUAGUUUUUCACAAAAUACUCUCUCUCCCCUCAAUUGUUGUUUGUUGUGAGUUUCCAUCUCCAUUGUCACUUGGAUUAAGUUCAUCUGCAACACCUUUGAUGGAUCUUAUUCUGCAGGCUUGCACUAAAGCUUCCCCAUAUGAGGGACCUUUCAGGGCUGAUUCUCCAUCAUGGUGUUGGGCUCCUUUUGAACCUGAAGGGAUUCUGAGGUGAAAUUCCAUAUAUCUUUUUUCCUUGAAGUCAUGCCUGCACGCGUGAUAUUACAAUAGGGCUACAGCUCAAUUUCUGCUAUUCUCUCUAUGGUCCUUGGAGUUCAUUUUGGACAUGUCCUUAUUCAUAUGAAGGAUAACUCAUCCAAACUUUUGCAUUGGGUUGGCAUGGGCAUAGCUCUUUUGGUUUUAGGAAUUAUUCUCCACUUCACAGAUGGUGCUGAAUGCAGCUAUUCCUUUAAAUAAGCAACUAUACACCGUCAGCUAUGUCUGUGUAACCUCAGGAGCAGCCGCGUUAGUAUUCCCUGCUUUCUACAUUCUGGUACAGUGGUCUUGUCCAAAAAUCUGGUCACUUCUUUUUUGUUCCUUGCUGCAAGUUGAACCGAUCAAUUUGGUACAUUAAAUUUGGAAGCUCUAGACCUUUACGAUUAAAUCAGACUUCCCUCUGAAAUGCCAAGGCAUUCAUUAGAAACAAGAAAAGCAAGGGUCAAGUAGAUGGAAAGUGUCCCAAGCUUUCUGGCUUCAAGUCUUAUUUUUUCAUCAAUCAGUUUGGAUGGUAUGUAGCGGGAGAAUGAGAAUGUAUCUGGAAUUUUGAAGAAUGUGUCUUUUUUAGCAAGAAAUGCUUUGAAUGACAACAUUCUGAUGCACGAUCACCAUUGCAAGAUUCAUAAAUUUCUUAUU
Capsicum annuum is the source of this 1153-nucleotide long non-coding RNA. RefSeq lists it as uncharacterized. The transcript is spliced from 3 exons. NCBI's taxonomy places the organism in Eukaryota, Viridiplantae, Streptophyta, Magnoliopsida, Solanales, Solanaceae. The record is from RefSeq and is a predicted model, not a curated record.